GGAGGAAAUCCCAGCUUCUGAUUUCACAAUUGUGGAAGAGAACCAUUGCACUAAGGCAGGUGGCUAGAGUUUUGUGGAAUUUAGAGCUAUUGAUGGGUUUUAUUGAAAUAAUUUUACCCACCAACAGCAGGACCAAAAUAAUUAUAGGAUGGGGGCAGAAUGGCAAGGGGAUACAUACAAUAUUAUGUGAUUGAGACUGUCAUGAAAGGUGGGGGUCCAGUUAUAAUGCUAGUUUGUCUGCUUUGUGCAAAAAGCCCUAUGAACCACUAUUUCCUCUAUACUGGGAUCUAAUAUUUGUUUUGUUUUUUUCCCCUAGUUCCACCAGCAGGGAGGUAUAAACUCUCAACAGACCUCACACUUCUUUCCAUAGAGAAUAUGUCUACUUCACAAAAGAUGAAAAUGGAGAAAGAAAAAGGGAGGACAAGACAGCAGUACAUUCUGUCUCCUUUCAUUCUAGUUUAUAGCAACUGGUGUGGUUUUCAUGGGCCUUUUCGGGAGUUUUACAUUCACAAGUGACAAUCUCUAUCACACCAUUUGAAUAGUUUAUGGAAGAGAUAAAAAUAAGGCUAUCCAAGACAAUUGCCAAUCCUUCAGGUCUGGCCUGGAGUUCAGGAACUGACCUCAUUAUCUUAAGACCUUGAGAGCAGUAAAGGAGAUGUGACAAGAUGCCAUCGUGGUCUCACACAAGUCAAUCAUCUGAAGAGGAUUGAGUAAGAAGGUACAGGACUUAUGGGUCUCGCUCUCUCUUUAUUAAUAAUGAAGAGCAGACAAAGCAUGGAAACGAAUCUAUAGUAAAUAUUGCAAAAUGGAAUUAAAAGAUUGGUAAAUGUGCAGGGACAACCAGAAGAAAUAGAGAAGAGGAAGUGAGUGUCCUACUGAGACAGAAGGCUUCUCAGUAUUGUAUUGGUCAAUCAUACAUUUUUCUUUCUUAUUCAUACUAUGAUAGACUGUGCUGGUAGUAGUGAUGCUAGAAAAUGUUUGUAUAGUUAUGAUGACAAAUGGUACUUGGAACCAUAAGCUGUGUUGCAAGUAGACAUGUGAACAUAAACUCAUCAUUUCAUGGGAUUGGAUGAAAUUGCAUCAGCCAGAAGAGAUACAACUUUCUAACCAAAGCAAAGCAACCUUUUUAGUCAAUCAACAGCAGGGACUGUUGCCCAAAUUGUAGGGCUGGAGCAGAGGACCUAAGCAGAGACUCACUCUUGCCCUUGGCAAGUACUGCAAGAGAUAGGGUUGCCUAUUGAAUUAAAGGCUAGUACUCUGGAAUGUCA
Anolis carolinensis (green anole) is the source of this 1268-nucleotide long non-coding RNA. RefSeq lists it as uncharacterized. Lineage: Eukaryota; Metazoa; Chordata; Lepidosauria; Squamata; Anolidae. The record is from RefSeq and is a predicted model, not a curated record. The transcript has 2 exons.